This 625-nucleotide ribosomal RNA is filed under the name uncultured bacterium. RNAcentral describes it as "bacterial SSU rRNA". It matches the Rfam family "Bacterial small subunit ribosomal RNA", at positions 202 to 828 of the family's 1533-position model. The record is from RNAcentral.
UAAAGAAUUUCGGUAUGGGAUGGGGAUGCGUUCCAUUAGUUAGUUGGCGGGGUAACGGCCCACCAAGACAACGAUGGAUAGGGGUUCUGAGAGGAAGGUCCCCCACAUUGGAACUGAGACACGGUCCAAACUCCUACGGGAGGCAGCAGUGAGGAAUAUUGGUCAAUGGACGAGAGUCUGAACCAGCCAAGUAGCGUGAAGGAUGACUGCCCUAUGGGUUGUAAACUUCUUUUAUAUGGGAAUAAAAUGUUCCACGUGUGGGAUUUUGUAUGUACCAUAUGAAUAAGGAUCGGCUAACUCCGUGCCAGCAGCCGCGGUAAUACGGAGGAUCCGAGCGUUAUCCGGAUUUAUUGGGUUUAAAGGGAGCGUAGGUGGAUUGUUAAGUCAGUUGUGAAAGUUUGCGGCUCAACCGUAAAAUUGCAGUUGAAACUGGCAGUCUUGAGUACAGUAGAGGUGGGCGGAAUUCGUGGUGUAGCGGUGAAAUGCUUAGAUAUCACGAAGAACUCCGAUUGCGAAGGCAGCUCACUGGACUGCAACUGACACUGAGGCUCGAAAGUGUGGGUAUCAAACAGGAUUAGAUACCCUGGUAGUCCACACAGUAAACGAUGAAUACUCGCUGUUUGCG